UACGUAGGGUGCAAGCGUUGUCCGGAAUUAUUGGGCGUAAAGAGCUCGUAGGCGGUCUGUCGCGUCUGCUGUGAAAACUCGGGGCUUAACCCUGGGCCUGCAGUGGGUACGGGCAGACUAGAGUGCGGUAGGGGAGACUGGAAUUCCUGGUGUAGCGGCGAAAUGCGCAGAUAUCAGGAGGAACACCGGUGGCGAAGGCGGGUCUCUGGGCCGUAACUGACGCUGAGGAGCGAAAGCGUGGGGAGCGAACAGG
RNAcentral lists this ribosomal RNA (253 nucleotides) under uncultured bacterium. RNAcentral's name for it is "partial 16S ribosomal RNA". It matches the Rfam family "Bacterial small subunit ribosomal RNA", at positions 524 to 776 of the family's 1533-position model. The record is from RNAcentral.